GGCUGGGUAGCUCAGUGGAUGAGAGCCACGCCUAGAGGUGGGAGGUCCUAGGUUCGAAUCCAGCCUCAGCCA
RNAcentral lists this transfer RNA (72 nucleotides) under Monodelphis domestica (gray short-tailed opossum). It matches the Rfam family "tRNA". From Rfam's summary of the family: Transfer RNA (tRNA) molecules are approximately 80 nucleotides in length. The record is from Rfam by way of RNAcentral. Lineage: Eukaryota; Metazoa; Chordata; Mammalia; Didelphimorphia; Didelphidae.